GACGAACGCUGGCGGCGUGCUUAACACAUGCAAGUCGAACGGAGCACCCCUGAAGGAGUUUUCGGACAACGGAUGGGAAUGCUUAGUGGCGGACUGGUGAGUAACGCGUGAGGAACCUGCCUUCCAGAGGGGGACAACAGUUGGAAACGACUGCUAAUACCGCAUGACGCAUCGAAGUCGCAUGGCUUUGAUGCCAAAGAUUUAUCGCUGGAAGAUGGCCUCGCGUCUGAUUAGCUAGUUGGUGAGGUAACGGCCCACCAAGGCGACGAUCAGUAGCCGGACUGAGAGGUUGGCCGGCCACAUUGGGACUGAGAUACGGCCCAG
This 324-nucleotide ribosomal RNA is filed under the name uncultured bacterium. RNAcentral describes it as "bacterial SSU rRNA". It matches the Rfam family "Bacterial small subunit ribosomal RNA", at positions 28 to 334 of the family's 1533-position model. The record is from RNAcentral.